RNAcentral lists this unclassified non-coding RNA (1074 nucleotides) under Hevea brasiliensis (rubber tree). The record is from RNAcentral. Lineage: Eukaryota; Viridiplantae; Streptophyta; Magnoliopsida; Malpighiales; Euphorbiaceae.
GAAAAGAGAGAUUUCGGCCUCAUUUGGCUUAAAAGGGGAUAGAAGAAAUGUAUUUGACAACAAAGCAAAUUUUAUACUAUAUCAAAAAAAUAAUGUUCAAAUAAUAAAACUAAACAUUCCCAAUAUUUCAGCCCUAAGGCAACAUUCAAGGCGAACAAAAACGUUGUUGCUGGUGUCUGGGGCCUCUAAUCAAGGAUGCCUGGGUGUGCUUCCCAAAAACUCUGCUCAAUUAUAUUACAAUAUUCUACGAUUACCUUAUUUCGUAGUUUUUCAACAGAUGAUCCAUUCUCAUGUAUCACAACAUCCUCCUGCAUAAAAAACAAAAUCUGAGCUUCAAGAACUGAAAAUAACAGGAAAUAUUAUAUUAUUAGUAGGAUCGAAUAAUACAUAGCAUAAUAAUAACCUAUACUCUAAUUGUCAAAUAUUGUAAAACAAUUUCAGACAUCUUUUGAGUAUUAAAGAACAUGUCAAAAUCUAGAAUCACCAAAGAUAUUACAUCCUUUGGUUUCUUGCAGUUGGCAUUCCAAGUUUCAGGAAAUCAUCCUUGUCAUGAAUGAAGGCAAAAUAAAACUACAAUUUUUCAAACAAUAUCAAGGUUUAAUUUAAAAAAAAAAAAAGGAACAAGUUAAUAUAAUAGGAAAAAGUGAAUAAUAAAGAAUGAAUAGAGGGAAAAAGAAGGAAAAUAAAAAAGUUAAAAGAACACAUUACUAGGAUGUCGCAAUAUUGCCCAUAAAGGGAAGCACAAUGAUAUGGAUAAUAUGCAAAAGGUGACUAUGUUCUUUGGACAAGCGGAGAACACUUGUGUUUUAAAUCCACCUUUAAGAACCACUUCAGGGCGUUCAUAUGCAUAAGAUCAGCAUAUUAUUCUCCAAUUAAACUAGUGACAAUUCCAAUUGACAAGUCAAUAAAUGAAAACUUGGUCAUCAUGCCAACAUAAAGAAGCAAAUGUGAAACAACAAAUAUUCUUCCGAAUCAAUUUUUAAUCACAGAUAGUAAUCCGAAUUAUGGAACUAAUUAUUAGCUUGGAGCAGUUACACAGGUUAUGAUUAAGAAACAGUAUUGGGGGUUCCAAUG